RNAcentral lists this ribosomal RNA (433 nucleotides) under uncultured bacterium. Its description in RNAcentral is "partial 16S ribosomal RNA". It matches the Rfam family "Bacterial small subunit ribosomal RNA", at positions 29 to 507 of the family's 1533-position model. The record is from RNAcentral.
AACGAACGCUGGCGGCAUGCCUAACACAUGCAAGUCGAACGAGACCUUCGGGUCUAGUGGCGCACGGGUGCGUAACGCGUGGGAACCUGCCCUUAGGUUCGGAAUAACUCCCCGAAAGGGGUGCUAAUACCGGAUAAUGUCUUCGGACCAAAGAUUUAUCGCCUUUGGAUGGGCCCGCGUUGGAUUAGCUAGUUGGUAGGGUAAAAGCCUACCAAGGCGACGAUCCAUAGCUGGUCAGAGAGGAUGGUCAGCCACACUUGGACUGAGACACGGCCCAGACUCCUACGGGAGGCAGCAGUGGGGAAUAGUGGACAAUGGGCGAAAGCCUGAUCCAGCACUGCCGCGUGAGUGAUGAAGGCCUUAGAGUUGUAAAGCUCAUUUACCCGGGAUGAUAAUGACAGUACCGGGAGAAUAAGCCCCGGCUAACUCCGUG